UUGGAGGGCAAGUCUGGUGCCAGCAGCCGCGGUAAUUCCAGCUCCAAUAGCGUAUAUUAAAGUUGUUGCAGUUAAAAAGCUCGUAGUUGAAUUUCGGGGUCAGUAGGUUGGUCAUGCCACAGGUACGUACUGAUCUUACUGAUUCCUCCUUCCUGAUGAACCGUAAUGCCAUUAAUUUGGUGUUGCGGGGAAACUGGACUGUUACUUUGAAAAAAUUAGAGUGUUUAAAGCAGGCUAACGCUUGAAUACAUUAGCAUGGAAUAAUGAAAUAGGACGUUCGAUUCUAUUUUGUUGGUUUCUAGGAUUGACGUAAUGAUUAAUAGGGAUAGUUGGGGGCAUUAGUAUUCAAUUGUCAGAGGUGAAAUUCUUGGAUUUAUUGAAGACUAACUACUGCGAAAGCAUUUGCCAAGGAUGUUUUCAUUAAUCAAGAACGAAAGUUAGGGGAUCGAAGACGAUCAGAUACCGUCGUAGUCUUAACCAUAAACUAUGCCGACUAGGGAUCGGAUGAUGUUAAUUUUUUAAUGACUCAUUCGGCGCCUUACGGGAAAC
RNAcentral lists this ribosomal RNA (549 nucleotides) under uncultured Glomus. Its description in RNAcentral is "SSU rRNA". It matches the Rfam family "Eukaryotic small subunit ribosomal RNA", at positions 548 to 1098 of the family's 1831-position model. Lineage: Eukaryota; Fungi; Glomeromycota; Glomeromycetes; Glomerales; Glomeraceae. The record is from RNAcentral.